GACGAACGCUGGCGGCGUGCCUAAUACAUGCAAGUCGAGCGAACAGACGAGGAGCUUGCUCCUCUGAUGUUAGCGGCGGACGGGUGAGUAACACGUGGAUAACCUACCUAUAAGACUGGGAUAACUUCGGGAAACCGGAGCUAAUACCGGAUAACAUGUUGAACCGCAUGGUUCAACAGUGAAAGACGGUCUUGCUGUCACUUAUAGAUGGAUCCGCGCCGCAUUAGCUAGUUGGUAAGGUAACGGCUUACCAAGGCAACGAUGCGUAGCCGACCUGAGAGGGUGAUCGGCCACACUGGAACUGAGACACGGUCCAGACUCCUACGGGAGGCAGCAGUAGGGAAUCUUCCGCAAUGGGCGAAAGCCUGACGGAGCAACGCCGCGUGAGUGAAGAAGGUCUUCGGAUCGUAAAACUCUGUUAUUAGGGAAGAACAAAUGUGUAAGUAGCUAUGCACGUCUUGACGGUACCUAAUCAGAAAGCCACGGCUAACUACGUG
RNAcentral lists this ribosomal RNA (497 nucleotides) under uncultured bacterium. Its description in RNAcentral is "partial 16S ribosomal RNA". It matches the Rfam family "Bacterial small subunit ribosomal RNA", at positions 28 to 507 of the family's 1533-position model. The record is from RNAcentral.